RNAcentral lists this transfer RNA (73 nucleotides) under Actinomycetales bacterium JB111. It matches the Rfam family "tRNA". Rfam says of the family: Transfer RNA (tRNA) molecules are approximately 80 nucleotides in length. Their secondary structure includes four short double-helical elements and three loops (D, anti-codon, and T loops). The record is from Rfam by way of RNAcentral. Lineage: Bacteria; Bacillati; Actinomycetota; Actinomycetes; Actinomycetales.
GCCGACUUAGCUCAGCUGGUAGAGCUCCCGCCUUGUAAGCGGACGGUCGCGGGUUCGAGUCCCGCAGUCGGCU